RNAcentral lists this ribosomal RNA (1287 nucleotides) under Hevansia websteri. RNAcentral's name for it is "partial small subunit ribosomal RNA". It matches the Rfam family "Eukaryotic small subunit ribosomal RNA", at positions 87 to 1407 of the family's 1831-position model. The record is from RNAcentral. RNAcentral also lists the same sequence under 1 other name. Lineage: Eukaryota; Fungi; Ascomycota; Sordariomycetes; Hypocreales; Cordycipitaceae.
CUGCGAAUGGCUCAUUAUAUAAGUUAUCGUUUAUUUGAUAGUACCUUACUACUUGGAUAACCGUGGUAAUUCUAGAGCUAAUACAUGCUAAAAAUCCCGACUUCGGAAGGGAUGUAUUUAUUAGAUUAAAAACCAAUGCCCUCUGGGCUCCUUGGUGAUUCAUAAUAACUUUUCGAAUCGCAUGGCCUUGCGCCGGCGAUGGUUCAUUCAAAUUUCUUCCCUAUCAACUUUCGAUGUUUGGGUAUUGGCCAAACAUGGUCGCAACGGGUAACGGAGGGUUAGGGCUCGACCCCGGAGAAGGAGCCUGAGAAACGGCUACUACAUCCAAGGAAGGCAGCAGGCGCGCAAAUUACCCAAUCCCGAUUCGGGGAGGUAGUGACAAUAAAUACUGAUACAGGGCUCUUUUGGGUCUUGUAAUUGGAAUGAGUACAAUUUAAAUCCCUUAACGAGGAACAAUUGGAGGGCAAGUCUGGUGCCAGCAGCCGCGGUAAUUCCAGCUCCAAUAGCGUAUAUUAAAGUUGUUGUGGUUAAAAAGCUCGUAGUUGAACCUUGGGCCUGGCUGGCCGGUCCGCCUCACCGCGUGUACUGGUCCGGCCGGGCCUUUCCCUCUGUGGAACCUCAUGCCCUUCACUGGGUGUGGCGGGGAAACAGGACUUUUACUUUGAAAAAAUUAGAGUGCUCCAGGCAGGCCUAUGCUCGAAUACAUUAGCAUGGAAUAAUAAAAUAGGACGUGUGGUUCUAUUUUGUUGGUUUCUAGGACCGCCGUAAUGAUUAAUAGGGACAGUCGGGGGCAUCAGUAUUCAAUUGUCAGAGGUGAAAUUCUUGGAUUUAUUGAAGACUAACUACUGCGAAAGCAUUUGCCAAGGAUGUUUUCAUUAAUCAGGAACGAAAGUUAGGGGAUCGAAGACGAUCAGAUACCGUCGUAGUCUUAACCAUAAACUAUGCCGACUAGGGAUCGGACGAUGUUAUUUUUUGACGCGUUCGGCACCUUACGAGAAAUCAAAGUGCUUGGGCUCCAGGGGGAGUAUGGUCGCAAGGCUGAAACUUAAAGAAAUUGACGGAAGGGCACCACCAGGGGUGGAGCCUGCGGCUUAAUUUGACUCAACACGGGGAAACUCACCAGGUCCAGACACAAUGAGGAUUGACAGAUUGAGAGCUCUUUCUUGAUUUUGUGGGUGGUGGUGCAUGGCCGUUCUUAGUUGGUGGAGUGAUUUGUCUGCUUAAUUGCGAUAACGAACGAGACCUUAACCUGCUAAAUAGCCCGUAUUGCUUUGGCAGUACGCCGGC